This is a transfer RNA of 83 nucleotides. It matches the Rfam family "tRNA". Rfam says of the family: Transfer RNA (tRNA) molecules are approximately 80 nucleotides in length.
GGCUUGGUGGUCUAGUAGUAUGAUUCCUUCUUAGGGUUAAAACCAACUGGAGGAGGUCCCGGGUUCAAUUCCCGGCCAAGCCC